UCGAACGGUAACAGGAUGUGCUUGCWCAUCGCUGACGAGUGGCGGACGGGUGAGUAAUGCUUGGGAACUUGCCUUUGCGAGGGGGAUAACAGUUGGAAACGACUGCUAAUACCGCAUAAUGUCUUCGGACCAAACGGGGCUUAGGCUCCGGCGCAAAGAGAGGCCCAAGUGAGAUUAGCUAGUUGGUAAGGUAACGGCUUACCAAGGCGACGAUCUCUAGCUGUUCUGAGAGGAAGAUCAGCCACACUGGGACUGAGACACGGCCCAGACUCCUACGGGAGGCAGCAGUGGGGAAUAUUGCACAAUGGGGGAAACCCUGAUGCAGCCAUGCCGCGUGUGUGAAGAAGGCCUUCGGGUUGUAAAGCACUUUCAGUUGUGAGGAAAAGUUAGUAGUUAAUACCUGCUAGCCGUGACGUUAACAACAGAAGAAGCACCGGCUAACUCCGUGCCAGCAGCCGCGGUAAUACGGAGGGUGCGAGCGUUAAUCGGAAUUACUGGGCGUAAAGCGCACGCAGGCGGUUUGUUAAGCUAGAUGUGAAAGCCCCGGGCUCAACCUGGGAUGGUCAUUUAGAACUGGCAGACUAGAGUCUUGGAGAGGGGAGUGGAAUUCCAGGUGUAGCGGUGAAAUGCGUAGAUAUCUGGAGGAACAUCAGUGGCGAAGGCGACUCCCUGGCCAAAGACUGACGCUCAUGUGCGAAAGUGUGGGUAGCGAACAGGAUUAGAUACCCUGGUAGUCCACACCGUAAACGCUGUCUACUAGCUGUGUGUGCCUUUAAGGCGUGCGUAGCGAAGCUAACGCGAUAAGUAGACCGCCUGGGGAGUACGGCCGCAAGGUUAAAACUCAAAUGAAUUGACGGGGGCCCGCACAAGCGGUGGAGCAUGUGGUUUAAUUCGAUGCAACGCGAAGAACCUUACCUACACUUGACAUGCUGAGAACUUU
RNAcentral lists this ribosomal RNA (940 nucleotides) under Alteromonas sp. RNAcentral's name for it is "bacterial SSU rRNA". It matches the Rfam family "Bacterial small subunit ribosomal RNA", at positions 62 to 999 of the family's 1533-position model. Lineage: Bacteria; Pseudomonadati; Pseudomonadota; Gammaproteobacteria; Alteromonadales; Alteromonadaceae. The record is from RNAcentral.